GCAAACGGUGGGUCUGCCUAUUGA
Molecule: non-coding RNA, 24 nt
Filed under: Arabidopsis thaliana (thale cress)
Lineage: Eukaryota; Viridiplantae; Streptophyta; Magnoliopsida; Brassicales; Brassicaceae
Source: RNAcentral